UACGUAGGGGGCAAGCGUUGUCCGGAUUUAUUGGGCGUAAAGCGCUCGCAGGUGGUUCGUCGCGUCGUGCGUGAAAGACCCCGGCUCAACUGGGGAGGGUCGUGCGAUACGGGCGGACUGGGGGGCAGUAGGGGGAUGUGGAAUUCCGGGUGUAGUGGUGGAAUGCGUAGAGAUCCGGAGGAACAUCAGCGGCGAAGGCGGCAUCCUGGACUGGUACUGACACUCAGGAGCGAAAGCGUGGGGAGCGAUCAGG
RNAcentral lists this ribosomal RNA (253 nucleotides) under uncultured bacterium. RNAcentral describes it as "partial 16S ribosomal RNA". It matches the Rfam family "Bacterial small subunit ribosomal RNA", at positions 524 to 776 of the family's 1533-position model. The record is from RNAcentral.